This 602-nucleotide ribosomal RNA is filed under the name uncultured bacterium. RNAcentral describes it as "bacterial SSU rRNA". It matches the Rfam family "Bacterial small subunit ribosomal RNA", at positions 119 to 739 of the family's 1533-position model. The record is from RNAcentral.
GGGUGACCUGCCCCAUACCGGGGGAUAACAGCUGGAAACGGCUGCUAAUACCGCAUAAGCGCACAGAGCUGCAUGGCUCGGUGUGAAAAACUCCGGUGGUAUGGGAUGGGCCCGCGUCUGAUUAGGCAGUUGGCGGGGUAACGGCCCACCAAACCGACGAUCAGUAGCCGGCCUGAGAGGGCGACCGGCCACAUUGGGACUGAGACACGGCCCAAACUCCUACGGGAGGCAGCAGUGGGGAAUAUUGCACAAUGGGGGAAACCCUGAUGCAGCGACGCCGCGUGAGCGAAGAAGUAUUUCGGUAUGUAAAGCUCUAUCGGCAGGGAAGAUAAUGACGGUACCUGACUAAGAAGCCCCGGCUAACUACGUGCCAGCAGCCGCGGUAAUACGUAGGGGGCAAGCGUUAUCCGGAUUUACUGGGUGUAAAGGGAGCGUAGACGGCAAGGCAAGUCUGAUGUGAAAACCCAGGGCUUAACCCUGGGACUGCAUUGGAAACUGUCUGGCUCGAGUGCCGGAGAGGUAAGCGGAAUUCCUAGUGUAGCGGUGAAAUGCGUAGAUAUUAGGAAGAACACCAGUGGCGAAGGCGGCUUACUGGACGGUAA